This 4862-nucleotide long non-coding RNA is filed under the name Salmo salar (Atlantic salmon). Its description in RNAcentral is "lncRNA (ENSSSAG00000083932.1)". The stretch from base 2035 to 2088 matches the Rfam family "UnaL2 LINE 3' element". The record is from RNAcentral. Lineage: Eukaryota; Metazoa; Chordata; Actinopteri; Salmoniformes; Salmonidae.
GGCGUAUGAUGCAUGUCCAACUACCUGCCCAUCUCCACAGUACAGGGCCCCAUGACCUCAGAGCUCAAACUACCUUCUAAAGAAUAAUCUUGGCCACUUUUCCAAGCAUUUAUAUCAGCUACUUACAGUGCCAAAUCAGACAUUGGCUACAGCUAUGAUAUAUGAUACAAGCCAUUUCUCUUUCUGAGAGAUACAACUUACAGUUAAUUUCCCAUGAAGACAACAAACACAGUUUGGCAGACGGACAGCGAGAUGAAGUCGAUACCUAUCUGCUCAUGUUUGGGUAUGUCCCAAAUGGAACACUUUUGCCACAUAUAGUGCACUACAUUUGACCAAGGGCAGUGCACUAAAUAAGAAAAUAGGGUGCCAUUUGGAAUGCACAACCUCUUUUCAUUCUGAUAUUCCAGACUUGUACCGUAGUGAUGUCAUCCUGAACCUUCACUUCCACACCACAGUCAUCUGGACUAUACAGCACUACAAAUAAACAGGUACCUGUUCAGCGUGAUAUAAACAUGAUAGAAACAUGAAGAUCGUUAGCAUCACAUUAGCGAUUUGGUUCUAUUUGUAUAUAACCUUUAUUUAUCCGUGUUUAACCUUUAUUUAACCUUUAUUUAUCCAUGAAGUCAUGUUGAUUAAAGACCUCUUUAGAAGGGAGAUAUUGUUUUACCAGCCACUGUUCAGUGGUACCAAUGUCCACUAAUAAUCACACCACCAAGUCCGCCAUGGUGUAGUAGUGUGUAGUAGUGUGUAGCCGUGUAUAGUAGUGUGUAGCAGUGUGUAGUAGUGUGUAGUAGUGUGUAGUAAUGUGUGGUAGUGUGUAGAAAUGUUCAGUAGUGUUUAGUAGUGUGUAGUAGUGUGUAGUAGUGUGUAGUAGUGUGUAGAAAUGUUCAGUAGUGUAUAGUAGUGUAUAGUAGUGUGUAGUAGUGUAUAGUAGUGUGUAGUAGUGUGUGGUAGUGUGUAGUAGUGUGUAGUAGUGUUUAGUAGGCCAUAGUAGUGUGUAGUAGUGUAUAGUAGUGUAUAGUAGGCCAUAGUAGUGUGUAGUAGUGUAUAGUAGUGUGUAGUAGUGUGUAGAAAUGUUCAGUAGUGUGUAGAAAUGUAUAGCAGUGUGUAGUAGUGUUUAGUAGGCCAUAGUAGUGUGUAGUAGUGUGUAGUAGUGUGUAGUAGGCCAUAGUAGUGUGUAGUAGUGUGUAGUAGUGUUUAGUAGUGUGUAGUAGUGUGUAGUAGUGUGUAGUAGUGUGUAGCAGUGUAUAGUAGUGUUUAGUAGUGUGUAGCAGUGUAUAGUAGUGUUUAGUAGUGUGUAGUAGUGUUUAGUAGUCCAUAGUAGUGUGUAGUACUGUGUAGUAGGCCAUAGUAGUGUGUAGUAGUGUGUAGUACUGUGUAGUAGGCCAUAGUAGUGUGUAGUAGUAUAUAGCAGUGUAUAGUAGUGUAUAGUAGUGUGUAGUAGUAUAUAGCAGUGUAUAGUAGUGUAUAGUAGUAUAUAGCAGUGUGUAGUAGUAUAUAGUAGUGUAUAGUAGUGUAGUGUAGUAGUGUAUAGUAGUGUAUUGUAGUGUGUAGUAGUGUGUAGUAGUGUGUAGUAGUAUAUAGUAGUGUAUAGUAGUGUAUAGUAGUGUAUAGUAGUGUAUAUUAGUGUAUUGUAGUGUAUAGUAGUGUAUUGUAGUGUGUAGUAGUGUGUAGCAGUGUGUAGUAGCAUAUAGUAGUGUGUAGUAGUAUGUAGUAGGCCAUAGUAGUGUAUAGUAGUGUGUAGUAGUGUAUAGUAGUGUGUAGUAGUGUGUAGUAGGCCAUAGUAGUGUAUAGUAGUGUGUAGUGGUGUGUAGUAGUGUGUAGUAGUGUAUAGUAGUGUAUAGUAGUGUGUAGUAGUGUGUAGUAGGCCAUAGCAGUGUAUAGUAGUGUAUUGUAGUGUGUAGUAGUGUAUAGCAGUGUGUAGUAAGAGUCUUCCCUGUAGCUCAGUUGGUAGAGCAUGGUGUUUGCAACGCCAGGGUUGUGGAUUCGAUUCCCACGGGGGACCAGUACGGGGAAAAAAAUUUAUGAAAUGUAUGCAUUCACUACUGUUAAUCGCUCUGGAUUAGAGCGUCUGCUAAAUGACUCAAAUGUAAAUGUAGUCUGUAGCAGUGUGUAGUAGCAGUGUGUAGUAGCAGUGUGUAGUAGCAGUGUAGUAGCGUGUAGUAGUGUGUAGUAGCAGUGUAUAGCAGUGUGUAGUAGUGUGAAGUAGUAUAUAGCAGUGUGUAGUAGUAUAUAGCAGAGUAGUAUGUUGUAGUGUGUAGUAGUGUGUAGUAGUGUAUAGUAGUUGUAUAUAGUAGUAUAUAGCAGUAUAUAGUAGUAUAUAGUAGUAUAUAGUAGUGUGUAGCAGUAUAUAGUAGUGUGUAGUAGUAUAUAGUAGUUGUAUAGUAGUAUAUAGUAGUAUAUAGUAGUAUAUAGCAGUGUGUUGUAUAGUAGUAUAUAGUAGUAUAUAGUAGUAUAUAGUAGUAUAUAGUAGUGUGUAGUAUAUAGUAGUAUAUAGUAGUAUAUAGUAGUGUAUAGCAGUGUGUUGCAGGCCAUAGUAGUGAGGUCAUAAAGAGACAUGCGUUGUCUCCUCUAACUGUGACUCACAGAGAUAACUAGUGAACUUCCUGCUAGACUCCUACAGUCAUUUCCUAUUUAAAAGUUAUAUUGGCUUCCAGGGCAUUAUCACUUUUAAACAGCGGGUUACCAGCACAUUCAAAUAAUGAUUGACAUAUUUUCAUUAAAAACGCUAUUUUUAUUAAUUUAUUCAUACUAUUUCAACCUUCCACGAGAUAUAGUCCCAACACAAAUCUAGGGUUGCUACCAAAGCAGGCUGGUCGUUCAUUAAAUCGGUUGGGUUGCCAGGGACUCGACCCAGUCGUUCAGUCUAUUUGUUCUGUAUCUAUGGACCCAGUCGUUCAGUCUAUUUGUUCUGUAUCUAUGGACGCGACCCAGUCGUUCAGUCUAUUUGUUCUGUAUCUAUGGACGCGACCCAGUCGUUCAGUCUAUUUGUUCUGUAUCUAUGGACGCGACCCAGUCGUUCAGUCUAUUUGUUCUGUAUCUAUGGACGCGACCCAGUCGUUCAGUCUAUUUGUUCUGUAUCUAUGGACCCAGUCGUUCAGUCUAUUUGUUCUGUAUCUAUGGACGCGACCCAGUCGUUCAGUCUAUUUGUUCUGUAUCUAUGGACGCGACCCAGUCGUUCGGUCUAAAUGUUCCAUUGCCGUACUGGCUGGCAACGUUCUUAUCGCUAGCUAGCCAACUACGGCUAACUUAGUCACGUCAACAAGCCAGAAUAACAGUGAAGUAGCUGCAUUUGUUUAAGCUGUUUUCAAGUGACAUGUAUUUGGAUACAUCCAUAACAAUGAGCCAAUGAGGCGAUAUUUCGCCUGGGAUAGAAAAUGUGCUCACUCAUCAGGACACUGUUGUUCAGAGGAGCAGGCCAACCACACGGUCAACCGCACGGCCAACCACACAGCCAUCAACACAGCCAACCACACAGCCAUCAACACAGCCAACAGCACAGCCAACAGCACAGCCAACCACACAGCCAACCACACAGCCAUCAACACAGCCAACCACACAGCCAACCACACAGCCAACCACACAGCCAACCACACAGCCAUCAACACAGCCAUCAACACAGCCAUCAACACAGCCAUCAACACAGCCAACAGCACAGCCAACCACACAGCCAACAACACAGCCAUCAACACAGCCAUCAACACAGCCAUCAACACAGCCAACAACACAGCCAUCAACACAGCCAACAACACAGCCAACAACACAUUCACUUCAAACUGAAGCUGGAAAGACUGUAAACUAGCUGCACUUCAUUUCGUUUGACCUGUUUUCUAUUGACAUGUAUUUGUAUGUAUCAAUAAAAAUGAUUCUGAUUCAUGAUUUCGACUGGUUGAGAAAAGCUGGCUGCCUGUCUGUCUCAUCCCGACUCCCAACCCCGACACGUUCAUUACUCUUUACUUUUUUAAAUGUAACCUUUAUUUAACUAGGCAAGUCAGUUAAGAACAAAUUCUUAUUUACAAAUGGGACAGUUGGAGAUCGAAUUUCAAUAUUAACUUAAAACAAUGUUGCAAACGUCAGAGGGAUAAACAGCGAGGUUUAUACAAAUCUCCGCUGUUGAAAAAGCAAAUGCUAGUUUAAAAGAAAUGGGAGAUAAUGUCUAAAAUCUUUUUACAGUUUUACAAGUUUAUACAUUGUCUGGCUGGGCUGAUGAGACAGUGGAUGCGCAGUGAGAUGGAACAAGCCAUUAAACUUCUGGAACAUACACUGGCUGGAAAGCGAUUUUAUCCAAUCAGCAUCCAGGAUAAUUUUAUUUUAUGUAACCUUUGUUUACUAGGCAUUAGACCCACCUGUAUAUAAAACCCAAAUAUUUACCCUCUCAUUACCCUUCGUUCUGUGAAUAUCAACCAGAGGACAGAGCGUGUCCCUAUUCCUUACAUAGUGUACUACUUUUGACCAGAGGGAAUAGGGAAUAGGGUACCAUUUGAGACACAGCCCUGUGAGUCAGCAGUUAUUAAACCUUUCAGACUCUGGUCCACUUACCCUCCUAUCUCAGCACUGAUGUUGGAAAUGAGUCAGUCUGAGUCUCACUCUCUCUCUCUCUCUGCAUCUCCUAUCUCAGCACUGAUGUUGGAAAUGAGUCAGUCUGAGUCUCUCUCUCUCUCUCUCUGCAUCUCCUAUCUCAGCAUUGAUGUUGGAAAUGAGUCAGUCUGAGUCUCUCUCUCUCUCUCUCUCUCUCUGCAUCUCCUAUCUCAGCACUGAUGUUGGAAAUGAGUCAGUCUGAGUCUCUCUCUCUCUCUGCAUCUCCUAUCUCAGCACUGAUGUUGGAAAUGAGUCAGUCUGAGUCUCUCUCUCUCUCUCUCUGC